RNAcentral lists this ribosomal RNA (463 nucleotides) under uncultured bacterium. RNAcentral describes it as "SSU rRNA". It matches the Rfam family "Bacterial small subunit ribosomal RNA", at positions 26 to 518 of the family's 1533-position model. The record is from RNAcentral.
AGAACGAACGCUGGCGGCAUGCCUAACACAUGCAAGUCGAACGCUCUUGAGGCUUCGGUUUCAAGAGAGUGGCGCACGGGUGAGUAGCGCGUGGGAACCUGCCCUGUUGUGGGGGAUAACCGAGGGAAACUUCGGCUAAUACCGCAUGCGCCCGGGGGAAACCCCGGGGAAAGAUUUAUCGCAGCAGGAGGGGCCCGCGUCGGAUUAGGUAGUUGGUGGGGUAACGGCCCACCAAGCCUGUGAUCCGUAGCUGGUCUGAGAGGAUGAUCAGCCACACUGGGACUGAGACACGGCCCAGACUCCUACGGGAGGCAGCAGUGGGGAAUAUUGGACAAUGGGCGCAAGCCUGAUCCAGCAAUGCCGCGUGAGUGAUGAAGGCCUUAGGGUUGUAAAGCUCUUUCGCCCGCGACGAUGAUGACGGUAGCGGGAGAAGAAGCCCGGCUAACUUCGUGCCAGCAGCCGC